Molecule: regulatory RNA element, 106 nt
Organism: Helicobacter suis HS5
Lineage: Bacteria; Pseudomonadati; Campylobacterota; Epsilonproteobacteria; Campylobacterales; Helicobacteraceae
Rfam family: purD RNA motif
Source: Rfam
GUAGUGGUUUUGGUGUGAUGGGCAUCUGGUAUUUGCCCCCUAAAGAGAUCCUCUUGGCCUCUUAUAGCUUCUUUGAACUACGCACACAAGUAACGGUCGUUUGGGU